GUUCAUGUGUGGGUUUUUACCUGUAGUCCGAUCCUUGCCAAUGGUUCGCCAUUGGUAAAGGCCUUAUGGUACAACUGUAAACAAAUCAGAGUGCUCAAAGCAGGCAUUGUUAAUGGGGAUUUAUCCUCAGUUUUGCUUGAAUGAUUUAGCAUGGGAUUGUCUUGGAGCCGUGAAUAGUGCCCUUUAGCAAUAGAGGAACGCUGUUCACUGGCGCUUGUAAUGUGAAGCAGGGAGAGGGCUCAAGUACUAUGGUGCUAGAGGUGAAAUUUAGAUACCAGCAUAUGACUUUCUGAUGCGAAAGCUGUUAUUGUCCAAUACACUUCUUUCGAUCAGGGACGAAAGUUAGGGGAUCGAAGAUGAUUAGAUACCGUCGUAGUCCUAACUAUGAACGAUACCAACAAGAGAUUGGUAGUGAAACCAUUUAAGAUCCUCUCAGAAUCCGAGGGAAACCUAAAGUCUUUGGGUUCUGGGGGGAGUAUAGUCGCAAGGCCGAAACUUAAAGGAAUUGACGGAAAGGCACCACCAGGAGUGGAGUUUGCGGCUUAAUUCGACCCAACGCGGGAAAACUCACCAGGACAGGACAGAGGUAUGAUUGACAGGUUGAAAGUCUUUUCUUGAUUCUCUGGAUGGUGGUGCAUGGCCGUUCUUAGUUCGUGGAGUGAUUUGUCUUGUUAAUUCAGUUAACGAACGAGACCUUAACCUACUAACUAGGCUAUAGGCUAGCUUUACGGCUAGUCAGUUUCUAUGGAGUGGUUCGUAUGAGCCAUUUCUUGAAACCUAUAAUAUGGAACUUCACUUUCGGGUGUAGUUCCUGCUUCUUAGAGGGACAAUACUUCGUUUAUAUUAGAGUAAGGAAGUUUAAGGCAAUAACAGGUCUGUGAUGCCCUUAGAUGCCCUGGGCAGCACGCGUACUACACUGUUAAUACUAACAAGUCAGUACAAUGUGAAUACUUCGGUGUUCACUGGCCUUCUCCUUAAAGGAGUGGGAAAUCUUUUCAAACAUUAACGUGACAGGGAUAGCUGUUUGGAAUUCCAUCUUGAACGAGGAAUUCCUAGUAAUCGCGAUUCAUUAUAUCGCAUUGAUUACGUCCCUGCCUUUUGUACACACCGCCCGUCGCUCCUACCGAUGGAACAAAAAGGUGAAUUUGACGGACUUGAGCUUUGGCUUGGGGAAGUUAACUGAACCUUUUUGUUUGUAGGAAGGAGAAGUCGUAACAAGGU
Molecule: ribosomal RNA, 1221 nt
Filed under: metagenome
Description: SSU rRNA
Rfam family: Eukaryotic small subunit ribosomal RNA
Source: RNAcentral